CUAGUUAUGUAUGUGUGUGUGUGUGUGUGUGUGUGUGUGUGUGCUGCUUCUCCCUCCGCCUGUUGGUCCAGAUGGCGGUGGACUCUUUGUGGUCAACUCAGGAGCAUCACCGGCGGGAAGGAGGCGGUUGCCAUGAUGCAGGACGCAGCUCUGAUCUGAACCGUCACAUCGUUCACACAGACGUCUGUCCAACCGGGCCCAAGAACCGGGUUUUGGUUUUGCUGGAGCUGAAUGAAGACUUUUAAUAGCUGUGAAUAAAUGCUCGUCUCUGGGUUCAA
Molecule: long non-coding RNA, 278 nt
Organism: Acanthopagrus latus (yellowfin seabream)
Lineage: Eukaryota; Metazoa; Chordata; Actinopteri; Spariformes; Sparidae
Exons: 2
Source: RefSeq, a predicted model, not a curated record